Molecule: ribosomal RNA, 250 nt
Filed under: uncultured bacterium
Lineage: Bacteria
Description: partial 16S ribosomal RNA
Rfam family: Bacterial small subunit ribosomal RNA
Source: RNAcentral
UACGUAGGUGGCAAGCGUUAUCCGGAAUUAUUGGGCGUAAAGCGCGCGCAGGCGGUUUCUUAAGUCUGAUGUGAAAGCCCACGGCUCAACCGUGGAGGGUCAUUGGAAGCUGGGGAACUUGAGUGCAGAAGAGAAAGCGGAAUUCCACGUGUAGCGGUGAAAUGCGUAGAGAUGUGGAGGAACACCAGUGGCGAAGGCGGCUGCCUGGGCCUGGCCGACGCUGAGGCGCGAAAGCGUGGGAGCGAUCCGG